GAUGAACGCUGGCGGCGUGCCUAAUACAUGCAAGUCGAGCGAACGGACGAGAAGCUUGCUUUUCUGAUGUUAGCGGCGGACGGGUGAGUAACACGUGGAUAACCUACCUAUAAGACUGGGAUAACUUCGGGAAACCGGAGCUAAUACCGGAUAAUAUUUUGAACCGCAUGGUUCAAAAGUGAAAGACGGUCUUGCUGUCACUUAUAGAUGGAUCCGCGCUGCAUUAGCUAGUUGGUAAGGUAACGGCUUACCAAGGCAACGAUGCAUAGCCGACCUGAGAGGGUGAUCGGCCACACUGGAACUGAGACACGGUCCAGACUCCUACGGGGGGCAGCAGUAGGGAAUCUUCCGCAAUGGGCGAAAGCCUGACGGAGCAACGCCGCGUGAGUGAUGAAGGUCCUCGGAUCGUAAAACUCUGUUAUUAGGGAAGAACAUAUGUGUAAGUAACUGUGCACAUCUUGACGGUACCUAAUCAGAAAGCCACGGCUAACUACGUG
Molecule: ribosomal RNA, 497 nt
Filed under: uncultured bacterium
Lineage: Bacteria
Description: partial 16S ribosomal RNA
Rfam family: Bacterial small subunit ribosomal RNA
Source: RNAcentral